UAAUUGGAGAGUUUGAUCCUGGCUCAGAACGAACGCUGGCGGCGUGCCUAACACAUGCAAGUCGUACGAGAAAAUCCCCUUCGGGGGGUGAGUAAAGUGGCGAACUGGUGAGUAACACGUGGGUAAUUUGCCCUGAAGACUGGGAUAACCUCGGGAAACCGGAGCUAAUACCAGAUAAAUCCAUUUCGCAUAAGCGGAAUGGGUAAAGGUGGGGAUCUUCGGACCUACCGCUUUAGGAUAAGCCCGCGGCUGAUUAGCUUGUUGGUGGGGUAACGGCCUACCAAGGCGACGAUCAGUAGCCGGCCUGAGAGGGUGAUCGGCCACAUUGGGACUGAGAUAUGGCCCAGACUCCUACGGGAGGCAGCAGUGGGGAAUAUUGCGCAAUGGACGAAAGUCUGACGCAGCAACGCCGCGUGAGCGAUGAAGGCCUUCGGGUUGUAAAGCUCUGUCAGGAGGGAAGAAACCGCAGGAGAAGAUAACGCUUCUGCGCUGACGGUACCUCCAAAGGAAGCCACGGCUAACUCCGUGCCAGCAGCCGCGGUAAUACGGAGGUGGCAAGCGUUGUUCGGAAUUACUGGGCGUAAAGCGCGCGUAGGCGGUCCGUUAAGUCGGGAGUGAAAUCCCCGGGCUCAACCUGGGAACUGCUUUCGAUACUGGCAGACUAGAGGAUGGGAGAGGGAAGUGGAAUUCCUAGUGUAGCGGUGAAAUGCGUAGAUAUUAGGAAGAACACCGGUGGCGAAGGCGGCUUCCUGGCCCAUUCCUGACGCUGAGGCGCGAAAGCGUGGGUAGCAAACAGGAUUAGAUACCCUGGUAGUCCACGCCGUAAACGAUGGGUACUAGGUGUCGGGGGUGUCGACCCCCUCGGUGCCGUAGCUAACGCGUUAAGUACCCCGCCUGGGGAGUACGGCCGCAAGGCUAAAACUCAAAGGAAUUGACGGGGGCCCGCACAAGCGGUGGAGCAUGUGGUUUAAUUCGAUGCAACGCGAAGAACCUUACCAGGGCUUGACAUCCCGAGAACCUUCCUGAAAAGGAAGGGUGCCCUUCGGGGAACUCGGUGACAGGUGCUGCAUGGCUGUCGUCAGCUCGUGUCGUGAGAUGUUGGGUUAAGUCCCGCAACGAGCGCAACCCUCAUCCUUAGUUACUAACAUUCAGUUGAGGACUCUAAGGAAACUGUCUGCGACAAGCAGGAGGAAGGUGGGGACGACGUCAAGUCAUCAUGGCCCUUACGCCCUGGGCCACACACGUGCUACAAUGGGCGGUACAAAGGGUUGCGAACCCGCGAGGGGGUGCUAAUCCCAUAAAACCGUCCUCAGUUCAGAUUGCAGUCUGUAACUCGACUGCAUGAAGGUGGAAUCGCUAGUAAUCGUGGAUCAGCAUGCCACGGUGAAUACGUUCCCGGGCCUUGUACACACCGCCCGUCACACCAUGGGAGUCUGCUGUACCGGAAGUCACUGGGCUAACCCUUCGGGGAGGCAGGUGCCGAUGGUAUGGUCGGCGACUGGGGUGAAGUCGUAACAAGGUAGCCGUAGGAGAACCUGCGGCUGGAUCACCUCCUUU
This is a non-coding RNA of Nitrospirae bacterium CG2_30_70_394, 1557 nucleotides long. Lineage: Bacteria; Pseudomonadati; Nitrospirota. The record is from Rfam.